This 253-nucleotide ribosomal RNA is filed under the name uncultured bacterium. RNAcentral describes it as "partial 16S ribosomal RNA". It matches the Rfam family "Bacterial small subunit ribosomal RNA", at positions 524 to 776 of the family's 1533-position model. The record is from RNAcentral.
UACGUAGGGGGCUAGCGUUGUCCGGAUCUAUUGGGCGUAAAGAGCGCGUAGGCGGCUAGGUAGGUCUGCUGUGAAAACUCGAGGCUCAACCUCGAGACGUCGGCGGAAACCAUCUGGCUAGAGUCCGGAAGAGGAGAAUGGAAUUCCUGGUGUAGCGGUGAAAUGCGCAGAUAUCAGGAAGAACACCCGUGGCGAAGGCGGUUCUCUGGGACGGUACUGACGCUGAGACGCGAAAGCGUGGGGAGCGAACAGG